UAGGGAAUAUUGGGCAAUGGAGGCAACUCUGACCCAGCCAUGCCGCGUGCAGGAUGAAGGCGCUCAGCGUUGUAAACUGCUUUUACUGGUGAAGAAAACUUACCCUGCGGGGUAAAUUGACGGUAUCCAGGGAAUAAGCACCGGCUAACUCCGUGCCAGCAGCCGCGGUAAUACGGAGGGUGCAAGCGUUGUCCGGAUUUAUUGGGUUUAAAGGGUGCGUAGGUGGUUUUCUAAGUCUGGUUUGAAAGCAAGCGGCUUAACCGUUUGAUGUGGCUGGAAACUGGGGAACUUGAAUGGGUUGGCGGUAGCCGGAAUGGGUCAUGUAGCGGUGAAAUGCAUAGAUAUGACCCGGAACACCGAUUGCGAAGGCAGGCUACUACGACUUGAUUGACACUGAGGCACGAGAGCAUGGGUAGCGAACAGG
This 424-nucleotide ribosomal RNA is filed under the name uncultured bacterium. Its description in RNAcentral is "bacterial SSU rRNA". It matches the Rfam family "Bacterial small subunit ribosomal RNA", at positions 355 to 776 of the family's 1533-position model. The record is from RNAcentral.